GUUUUAAUAAUUUAAAAAUAAAAUAUUGGUCUUGUAAACCAAAAAUAAGAUAACUUUUAAAACU
This 64-nucleotide transfer RNA is filed under the name Coleoptera sp. 26 KM-2017. RNAcentral's name for it is "tRNA-Thr". It matches the Rfam family "tRNA". From Rfam's summary of the family: Transfer RNA (tRNA) molecules are approximately 80 nucleotides in length. The record is from RNAcentral. Lineage: Eukaryota; Metazoa; Arthropoda; Insecta; Coleoptera.